GCGGGUAUCGUAUAACGGCUAUUAUGCUACCUUCCCAAGGUAGAGACGAGGGUUCGACUCCCUCUACCCGCACCA
This 75-nucleotide transfer RNA is filed under the name Candidatus Saccharimonadota bacterium. Its description in RNAcentral is "tRNA-Gly". It matches the Rfam family "tRNA". Rfam says of the family: Transfer RNA (tRNA) molecules are approximately 80 nucleotides in length. Their secondary structure includes four short double-helical elements and three loops (D, anti-codon, and T loops). Further hydrogen bonds mediate the characteristic L-shaped molecular structure. tRNAs have two regions of fundamental functional importance: the anti-codon, which is responsible for specific mRNA codon recognition, and the 3' end, to which the tRNAs corresponding amino acid is attached (by aminoacyl-tRNA synthetases). tRNAs cope with the degeneracy of the genetic code in two manners: having more than one tRNA (with a specific anti-codon) for a particular amino acid; and 'wobble' base-pairing, i.e. permitting non-standard base-pairing at the 3rd anti-codon position. The record is from RNAcentral. RNAcentral also lists the same sequence under 1 other name. Lineage: Bacteria; Candidatus Saccharimonadota.